UCGUAUAACAGAGGGCAUCCUGGGCUGUCGCUGACCCAUCAGGUCGUGCACGCCUAGAGUGUUCUCAUUUACACAUCUACCUCACCCUUUGUGCAUUGCCGCGUGGGCCCUCUUCUUUGAUUCAAAGAAAGGCCUACGUUUUUACACGAAACGUAGUAACAGUCGAAUGUCUUAUACUUGCGGUGACACGCAAUCAAUA
This 199-nucleotide unclassified non-coding RNA is filed under the name uncultured Russulales. Its description in RNAcentral is "sequence contains ITS1". The record is from RNAcentral. Lineage: Eukaryota; Fungi; Basidiomycota; Agaricomycetes; Agaricales.